UAGGGAAUAUUGGUCAAUGGUGGGAACACUGAACCAGCCAUUCCGCGUGCAGGAAGAAGGGUCUCUGACUUGUAAACUGCUUUAGCAAGGGAAGAAAAAGCUCAUGCGUGAGAAAUUGACGGUACCUUGAGAAUAAGCACCGGCUAACUACGUGCCAGCAGCCGCGGUAAUACGUAGGGUGCAAGCGUUGUCCGGAUUUAUUGGGUUUAAAGGGUGCGUAGGCGGCUCACUAAGUCAGUGUUAAAAUUUUGCGGCUCAACCGUAAGUCUGGCAUUGAUACUGGUAAGCUUGAGUAUAUGUGAGGUAGGCGGAAUUGAUAGUGUAGCGGUGAAAUGCAUAGAUAUUAUCAAGAACUCCGAUAGCGAAGGCAGCUUACUGAUGUAUAACUGACGCUGAGGCA
RNAcentral lists this ribosomal RNA (400 nucleotides) under uncultured bacterium. Its description in RNAcentral is "bacterial SSU rRNA". It matches the Rfam family "Bacterial small subunit ribosomal RNA", at positions 355 to 753 of the family's 1533-position model. The record is from RNAcentral.